This is a long non-coding RNA of Juglans microcarpa x Juglans regia, 1502 nucleotides long. RefSeq lists it as uncharacterized. Lineage: Eukaryota; Viridiplantae; Streptophyta; Magnoliopsida; Fagales; Juglandaceae. The transcript has 2 exons. The record is from RefSeq and is a predicted model, not a curated record.
GCCCCAUCAGUCUGGUAGGUGGGAUUUAUUAUUUCAAAGGUGUUAGCUAAUCGAAUGAGCUUGGUGAUGGAUAAAAUCAUUUCCAAGCCCCAAAAUGCCUUUGUACGUGGCUGGCAAAUUUUAGACUCAGUUUGGGUUGCAAAUGAGUGUCUGGAUAGUCGGCUGAGGGCAUAUAUUCCAGGAGACCUUUGCAAGUUGGAUAUGGAAAAUGCUUAUGGUCAUGUGUGCUGGGAUUUUUUGAUAUAUAUGUUGAGGAGGUGCGGUUUUGGAGAUAUGUGGUGUGGUUGGGUGAAACAUUGUGUACCAUCCACUCAGUUUUCUGUUUUAGUUAACGGGCAACACUGUGAUUUCUUCUCGAGCUCGAGGGGCUUAAGACAAGGGGACCCGUUAUCUCCCUUUCUCUUUGUUGUAGUGAUUGAAGCCUUGAGUCGUAUGGUGGAGGCGGCAGUAAUGGGAGGUUUUAUUGCUGGUUUUUCGGUGGGCAACUCUACCUUUGGUGCUUUUUCCAUUUCUCAUUUAUUGUAUGCAAAUGACACUUUAAUCCUCUGUGAUGCUGACAGUGGACAAUAACAAGCUUUAAGGGCUGUUCUUUUGUGUUUUGAAGCUGUCUCGGGCCUUAAGGUGAAUUUGGGAAAGUUGGAAUUGGUCCCGGUGGGGGUGGUGGACAAUAUCAAUCAUCUAGCAAGUUUGUUGGGGUGCAAAGUGGCCUCUCUUCCUAUGUAAUACCUUGGCCUUCCUUUGGGGGCCUCUUUCAAAGCAAAAUACAUAUGGGAUUGCGGGGAGACUUACCCUCUUCAAAAGUAUCCUCUCCAAUCUUCCUACUUAUUUUCUAUCCUUGUUCCUUUUACCGGUGGGUGUGGCCAAUUGGAUUGAGAAAUUGUUUAGGGCUUUCUUGUGGGGUGGUAUGGGGGAAGAACAUAAAUUUCAUCUUGUGAGUUGGCUGAAGGUGUGUUGCCCGAAGGAGUCGGGAGGCUUGGGGGUGCGUAGCCUGUCCUUUUUUUAACAAAGCCCUCUUGGGGAAGUGGUUGUGGAGAUUUCAAUUGAAAGAUGAUUCAUUGUGGAGAUUGGUUAUUGUUUGAAAGUAUGGUUGUGAUUGGGGGGGUUGGUGUUCUAAGGAGGGAAGGGUACCUUUGGUGUAAGCCUUUGAAAAUUUAUCAAAAAGGGGUGGGAGGAGUUCGUAAAACACACUAGUUUUGAGGUGGGAGUGGGGACUAGAAUCAUUUUUUGGUUUGAUGUAUGGUGUGGCAAGAGUGCUCUAUUUACUGUUUUUCCAAGUGUUUUAAGAUUGGCUGAAAAUUAGCAGGCCGCUGUCUUAGAUCUAAUGUGCCGUGCCAUGGGGAGUGUUCUGUGGAAUUUGAUCUUAUCCAGAAACGCGCAAGACUGGGAAGUGGACGAAAUAGCAGGUUUUUACAAUCUUUUAUAUUCCAAGAAGUUAGGAGGAAACGAGAGGGAUAGAAUGUUGUGGAAACAUUCAGGGCGCAAAAAACUUUCUGUUAAGUCCU